Molecule: long non-coding RNA, 559 nt
Filed under: Dasypus novemcinctus (nine-banded armadillo)
Lineage: Eukaryota; Metazoa; Chordata; Mammalia; Cingulata; Dasypodidae
Description: lncRNA (ENSDNOG00000050186.1)
Source: RNAcentral
GGAGAGGGGAAAAAUCCUGAUAAAUAAUAUUCAGAAACAGUCCUUCUCUCUGGAUUGGCUAUAUCAGGAAAAGAGACAAAGCAUUGGAUAAAGCAAGAAAGCACCAUGAAACAAAACACCUCUUUAAAAUGUUGACUGUAGCGUAGGCUGAUCUCAGGCAAUGUGGGAACUCAGAAUGGCAAAACCUGAACCCACCCCUAGCCCGUAGCUGAAUGUCCUUUGCGGAUGUUUCUGGGAACACGGUGGGGGUAUUUCAUUAACAUAAAAUCUCAGCAAAUGGACAGGCUAUAUUAUUUUGUUGCAGAAGGAAACUGAGUCAACGUGAGACAUCCAAGGAUCAGGACUCGAAAGGAGCAUAUGCCAUUGGGUAUUACUACAGUAGGAUAAAUCAUACGUCCCCUCACUUCAUUUGGAAAUCAGCUUUCACAUUUUUCAAUCAAUGGAAGUCUUGUUGAACACGUCUUGAAUACAUAUUGAGAAGGUACCAAAACAACUAAAAUCAGGUGAGGCAUUUUCAUUUCAAUUUUCAUGGAAUUCUGCUGGUUUCUUUCUUAACUUU